UUUUGAUAUAUGCAAUAGACUAUGCAUGUACUGAUGCUUAAAACAAAACAGUAACGCCUUCUGCAAAUUUGAGAUUCCCAAUGUAUUAAGCUUGACCAAUUAGCAUAUCUGAAUCAUGUAUGCCCUUUCAGCUCCCAACAAACUCUCGGGAAUGUAUCAAUACAUGUAGGCUAACACAGUUUGCAACAAGUUUUACUUGAUGACUGUGUAUUAUGGGCAAAACACUCCCAUGUAUCAGCCACAACAUUUAGCUCUGUAAGGAAUAAGAGUAUAUGCAUUGGACUAUAUGGCACCAAAUAUGUUUGCAAAAUGCACCCCUAUACUACAGAUCAUAGUAGAAUGAAUCUGUCCUUCCAGGAAAGAGUUGCUGGACAACUCAGAAGAAUCAUUGGGAAUUUGACCAGUCAAUGCAACGAGCCAGGCAGUACAGCAACUAUAGUGCAACUGCCAGCUUUAUUCCUUCAGUGACCAGACACCUGAGUUAGUAGGACACAUAUUAGCCCUUCGUACCCUCUAGAAGCUUAAGAGACAGUAUUAAGAUGUGAACAUGACAGCAGAACCUCAAAAUGUAAGCAUGUGGGUACUUGCAUUUUGACCCAAAUCUCUACACUCACAAAAGUAAAUCCAACCAACAUAGUAAAACAUCAUACUGGAACAUAUAAAGUUUCCAGGGAGCUCAAUGUUACUGAUCAUUUCAAUCCUUAGAUUAUAAGCAGGUACUCCCUCCAAUGCAAUAUGCCACAAUUUGCCCACCAGCGAUGAUAAUGCACGUCAUGUAAGAGCUCAAGAGAUCUAGCAUACUAGUGUGAAACUUAAUAAUAGCAGAAACGCAUCUUGUUUUGUAAGAUAAUUUGGUAAUGACGAACUAAUGACAUCGGACAUGCACGAGCUGGUUAAUAAAAAUCCUAUUAGCCUGAUAACGAUCUGAUUAGCCAGCCAGUCACAGCAUAUACAUGCACUAAAAGUUCUCUUUGUCUCAGGAAUAUUCAAUUCACAAGAUCCACUGCCAGUAGUACAAUAAUGCUGGAUCGUUAGGUGCUGCUGCUCUGAGCGUAACUACCAUCAUACAGCUUGCCUAGAAUACCAAUUGCAGGGUAAGCUACUCCCAAAUGACCAUUUUACACGUAAGUACGAUGAGAAAACAAUAUAAAACAUCAAAUCUCCAAUUAGAACCAGCUAGUCGGUGAUGAUCCGUGCGUAUCUUGAUGGCAGCAUGUCUCACGGGGCACAUGUAGCUCGAUCCAAUUAGUAGAAAACGCCUACAGGUUAUCACGUGGACAUGGUAUUGUUUAUGAAGAAACCCCUUGGCCCCAGCCCUCCACCCAAGGUCACACACUCCAGUGAGAUCAAUCUCUUGUUUAAGUCUACACUUGACCAAUUAAGAAAAUAGAGAGUACUGCUUAUGUACUAUACAAUAGGCCAAGUAGGCCUGCCUGCUAAACAGAUGCUAGGAAUCACAUGCAUUAUCUUAUCGUAUUGCGUUACGUUAACAGACCCUCACAUGCCUUACAUACUUUAGAUCUGUCACCUUGUUCGUGCGUAAACUUUGAAAAGUGAUAUGUGAAUCAUGAGGUCCAGGUAAAUUUUGUAAAGAAGAUCAGCAUGGACAAUGAUGAAGCCUCAUGGUCUGAUACUGAAAAGAUCCUCAAAAGGCAGUCCUGCUCAGUUAGGAUAAGAAUAUGUAAGAUGCAAAUAUUGGCCACGAAAAUCGGUCUUUCCUCAUCAACAUUGGCAUGAUUUGGGCAUCAGUUGGAUAAUCUUUUGACCACCGACCACCACACAACAUUGAUGGAGUCGUACUGGUCAGCAAAACUUUACAUAUAUCACAGUUAGUUUACGUUAUCAUCACACCUUGUUGCCACAACAAGCAAAGGACUCUUUACUAGACAAAAGAACAAGUGAAUUCCAGAAAAGAGUGACAAUGUAGUGACAUCCUGAAUGAAGAUAAAUCAUACCGAGGAAUGUGCCUAGAGGUAUAGACAGGCAAAACAAACAAUAAAUUACCAAGGUUGAUUUUGUAAGGCGAGAUGCUUCCACUCACUAUAUGACUAACAGGGUUUUUAAUGAAAUGACAGGUACUACUCUGACACAAGAGAGGGAAUCAUAUGAUCUGGAGAUACUGACGGUCAGCUGUCUUCAGUUCAACACUCCUCCAAGAUGACUGGCUAUUUCUAGGAAAUCUAAGACCUACUUGCUAAUAAAUAUUAAAACUAAGGUUCUGACAGCGCUCUCAGUGCCCAACAACCGAAAAGAUACAAUACAACUAGUUUUCAGUUAACAAGGAAAAGAAUCCAGAUCUUGCUGCAGAACCUCAACAUGCUCAUCAUUGAAAGCUAGAUUAUACUAGGGCGGGCGGUUGGUAAACAGGAAAUUAAAACAAAUAUUCUAAGGCUAAAGCUACAAUCAGUGCACAUCUACUAGUUCAGGCACCAUCGGCUAAAUUUACCCUAGUAUUGAGUUUCAGGUGACAGACAUUCAGAACUGGACAAAAAUGAAAACAGAGUAGCAUUGAAAUCCCCCUAAAGGCACGUAAGAACGCACCGACAUGUACUACGAAGUUGAAAAAUCAUGUGCUAGUAGGGCUGCAGAACACGAAAUACAGUGUGCAGGUUACCCAGCAAAGUGAUUAUGCCGGUCUGGGGAGACAUUUUCAGGAAUACCGUUCACAAAAAGGAAGUGUGCAAGUGCACACGUCGACGCCGAAAGCUUCAACUCCCUUGGUUCUAUCUUCCAUGCAUAUCAAAGCCACCAUAUAUUCAUGCCUAAACUUUGGUCCAUGUGUAUCUGUUUUAGCCAAAUAAACUACUGCGAGUUGAGCACCAUGGAAAUAAGGUAGUGCUUCCUCUAGGGAGCAGAAAUCUUUAGUUAAGACAGUAAAGAGAAUCACCAUCACCUAAUGGAGUUAAUAAUUUUCCAAUCGUAGAAUUUUGUGUCCGGGCGAUUGGGUAGCCAGUUCCAGCUCAGGAUGGUUUCCAUGAUAGUGAUAGUCUCGUAGAUACAAGUUGAUUGAUCACAUAAACUCCUAGCACUGAAUAUUCCAUUCAAACCCGUUGUCGAAAAUAUCAUCUGAAUUUCCCAAAUGUUAGUUUCUCCAAUGGCAUGAGCAUAAACUCAAAUAUCUAAACUUGGAUGGACCAGAUAAAAUGAAGCGUGCAAAAGUGCAUGUUCUUGAAAAAACAAGUGUGAAAAGUGCAUGUUCCAAGGAAAAAUAAGGUGUGCAGAAAUCGAACUCUUCCCAAACGCAUUACAAUUUUCAGAGGAAAAAUGAUAAAAAUGAAGUAUGCACCUGUGCUGACACCACAUAUGUUAAGAGUAUUUUGUUGUUUUGCGGAGGUUUACGUAUUAAGCAAGGGGGCCAUAAAUAAUUGGAGCCAGGACUCUCAUCCGAUUAAGUUUAUUUUUGCUAGGUAAAUAGAUUACAUCGUAACUCACACACAAUGAACUAGGGUUCAUACUUAAUGCUUGGUAAAAGUUCUGCUCUAGAAGCAGUAAGAAAAUUGCAUUUGCGAUCAAUAUGCAAAAAUCUUCAAAGUAUUUGGUUACAAUUUCCGGUUCUGAUGCGAUCAGUAUACGUAUUUUACAUGCUCAAAUACUUAUCAGUAGAUAUGUGUGUUUCUUUCUAUAAUUUAUUAUUCAAUCUAGUAAACAUGAUUAUAGGAUUAUAGCUACUGGGCUGAUGCAACAAUUUAAAAAAAACAGCACAAAUAUAGCUAGACUAGAAAAUCUAUUUUGUUUCAUGUUAGAGGUCCAAGAUUGAGAAUUUUAGAUCAAUAGGUGCACCUACAUUCAAGAAUCGUUUUCACCAAGCCAUGCAUUUCAGUUUACUAAUACAUUUUUAGUUAUGGAUCAUAGAUGUGAAAAUUGUUGGUUCCAGAAAACGGGUGAUAGUUACAGAUUUAUCAAGUAGAAAAGUUGUUUAGAUGGAUACUGUAACCAUGGCAUUGGUAGUCCCAAAUGUUGUUUUGUGAGUGGGUAGUACAGUCUGAAUAGAGUAGAAGAGAAUGAAAAUUUGUUGAGACAAUUGCAGCCUAUGUGUAGCGUAAUGUAUGUCUGCACGCAAACAAGCUUCCCUUUACACAAAACCUACCACAUAUUCAGAUUCAAAACCAGAGAAGCUUGAUUCUCAGUGAUUGGAUAACUAGUAAAUGAACCUUUACAUUUGUUUAGAAAAAAGAAGUUCCCUGAAUCCAUGAUCUAUACUGCAGGUUCAACAGCAUCGUUAAAUGUAUUCUAUACUGCAGGUCACUGGAGGUUUCAGUAGCUGAAUCCACUUAUGCAGUAGCUUCUUACUGAAGAUCAUGGGAGGUUCCAAAUCAGUAGCUACAUUUACCAAUGUAAUAGCUUCUUAGGUAACAUAGAACUAAACGCACCAGCCCAGCAUCUAGACUCUAGAGUAACAAAGUUAAAUCUUUCGAUGGUUAAAACUUAAAACACAUAGCACUUGCAGACCUAGAAUUCACACAGUAAUGUCAGUAACAAAGAAACUAGGCCGUCUGAAUAUAUCAUCUAGUUUUUGCUUCCUACUCUGUCACUCUGCCCCAUCUCUCAAACAAAGAUAGGUAGUCUGAAUAUGUCACUUGAUCUUCGCUUCCUACUAUAUAUCAUUAUGCCCCGUAUCUCAUUAAAGGUGCAUCAACACAUGAUUCCCUAACGAACAAAAAAGCAGAUCAUAUACAAAUGCACUAAUACAACAUGAAAGCCUUUUUGGAGUUGGAUCAAGCAAUCAUUUGCAAACACCAAUUAAGAUCAAACUGGCCCUGCAAUGACAUAUCAUAUUUCUUGACUGCUUUGUUCUUGUGGACACACCCAGAGUUUGGAAAAGGCACUUGGUGCAUUCAUACCAAGGAAGACCUUUCCGAAUUCCUAGCAUGGUCCUGCAGUUGCAUUUUAAGUUAUGGAUCAUAGAUGUGAAAAUCGUUGGUUCCAGAAAACGGCGGAUAGUUACAUUCGAGUAAUUUAACAAGUAAAGAAGUGUUGUUUAGAGGGAUACUGUAGCCAUGGCAUUGGGAUUGAGUGGGUAGUACAGGCUGAAUAGAGUAAAUAGAGUGAAAAUUUGUUGAGACAUAAUUGCAGGCUAUGUGUAGCAUAAUGUGUGUCUGCAUGCAAACAAACUCCCCUUUACACGAAACCUACGACCUAUUCAGAUUCAAAAUCAGAGAAGCUUGAUUCUCAAUGGUUGGAUAGCUAGUAAAUGAACCUUCACAUUUGUUUACCAGAAAUAAGUUCCCUGAACCCAUUAUCUAUACUGCGGGUUCAACAGCACUUUUAAAUGCAAUCUAUACUGCAGGUCACUGGAGGUUUCAGUAACUGAAUCUACAUACGUGGUAGCUUCUUACUGCAGGUCAGGGAGGUUCCAAAUCAGUAGCUAAAUCUACCAAUGUAAUAGCUUCUUAAGUAACAUAAAGCUAAAUGUACCCGUCCAGUAUCUAGACUGCUAGAGCAACAUAGUUAAAUCUUUCCAUGGUUAAAACACAUAUCACUUGCAGAACCAGAAUUCUCACGGUAAGGUUAGUAACAAAGAAACUAUACAGUCUGAAUAUAUCAUUUAGUUUUCGUUUUCUACUCUGUCACUCGCCCCAUCCCCCAACAAAGGUAGGUAGUCUGAAUAUAUCGAUUAGUCUCCGCUUCGUACUAUAUAUCAUUAUGGCCCGUAUCUCAUUAAAAGUGCAUCAACACAUGAUUCCCUACCGAACAAAAGGGCGGAUGAUAUACAAAUGCACUAGUACAACAUGAAAGCCUUUUUGGAGUUGGAUCAAGCAAUCAUUCGCAAACACCAAUUAAGAUCAAACUGGCCCUGCAAUUGACACAUGAAGUUUCCUGAAUGCUUUGUUUGCGUGGACACACCCAGAGUUUGUAAAAAGGCACUUGAUCCAUUCGAUUAGCAAGGAAGACCUUUCUGAUUUCCGAGGAUGGCCAUCUCACUCUUGGUACUGAACUUUUAUCAGUUUGAAUAUACGAAGCGGUCUGGGGGCUCCAUUCAUUUCUCUAUUAUUACUAAUAACAUAGGCCAUGAUCAACAUCCUGAUAAUUAGGGUCUCUCUGCCAACAUAGGCCAUUAAUGCAAGCACCUAAGCACCUAGGCAUGGAAUUAUCCAAGCGCAGCAACAGCAUUUCGAGGAAAUGGUAACCGCAGCAUAAUUAUUGGCAUUGACUAUUUGAUGACAGCGAGCACAGGCGUAGCUCUAGCGAGCGAAGCACAAAAGUAAGCUACGUAAAUCCUAGGCGGCAUAAUAUGUCUUACCACCGUAAUAGAAAGCAGGGUGCCGAUUUAUACGAACACCAGAUUGCGCGAAGGAGGAAGGGGAAACUUACAGCGAAACCCUAGCGAGAGAUGGCGACAUUUUGGGGGAGAGGGCUGGGGGAGGUCGCGCCAUAGGAUAGGAUCGAGACAGAACGCCACUAGCGGCAGAGGGGCAGAGAGACAAGCGAAGAGAGGGAGCGGAACUGCGGAGGCGAUCUGGGCGCGGCGGCACUGACGCUCCUCCGCCGGGGCGAAGCGGCGGGUGGGGAGCGCGUUGGCUUCAACUGGG
This 6530-nucleotide long non-coding RNA is filed under the name Triticum aestivum (bread wheat). RNAcentral describes it as "long non-coding RNA (TAES_LNC004794)". The record is from RNAcentral. Lineage: Eukaryota; Viridiplantae; Streptophyta; Magnoliopsida; Poales; Poaceae.